This 838-nucleotide ribosomal RNA is filed under the name uncultured Actinomycetes bacterium. RNAcentral describes it as "bacterial SSU rRNA". It matches the Rfam family "Bacterial small subunit ribosomal RNA", at positions 61 to 918 of the family's 1533-position model. The record is from RNAcentral. Lineage: Bacteria; Bacillati; Actinomycetota; Actinomycetes.
GUCGAGCGAGGCUCCCCAGAUGGGUAACCAUCCGGGGUGUCCUAGCGGCGAACGGGUGAGUAACACGUGAGCAACCUGCCCCGAAGAUCGGGAUAGCCCGGGGAAACCCGGAUUAAUACCGAAUAUCCUCGAUGGAGUGCAUGACCCGCCUAGGAAAGGCUCCGGCGCUUCGGGAUGGGCUCGCGGCCUAUCAGCUUGUUGGCGGGGUAACGGCCCACCAAGGCUACGACGGGUAGCUGGUCUGAGAGGACGACCAGCCACACUGGGACUGAGACACGGCCCAGACUCCUACGGGAGGCAGCAGCAGGGAAUCUUGCGCAAUGGGCGAAAGCCUGACGCAGCGACGCCGCGUGGGGGAUGAAGGCUCUCGGGUUGUAAACCCCUUUCAGGAGGGACGAAGCGAAUGUGACGGUACCUCCAGAAGAAGCCCCGGCCAACUACGUGCCAGCAGCCGCGGUAACACGUACGGGGCGAGCGUUGUCCGGAUUUAUUGGGCGUAAAGAGCUCGUAGGCGGCUUGGCAAGUCGGUCGUGAAAGUCCAGGGCUCACCCUGGAACGCCAGUCAUACUGCUAUGGCUAGGGUCCGGUAGAGGAGCGUGGAAUUCCCGGUGUAGCGGUGAAAUGCGCAGAUAUCGGGAGGAACACCAGUGGCGAAAGCGGCGCUCUGGGCCGGUCCGACGCUCAGGAGCGAAGCUAGGGGAGCAACAGGAUUAGAUACCUGGUAGUCCUGCUGUAACGUUGGCACUUGUGUGCGGACCAUUCACGUCUGCCGUGCCGAGCUAAGGAUUAGUGCCCUCCUGGGGAUACCGCUGCACGCUAAACUCAAGGAUUGACGGGG